UAGGGUAAGGUUUAAGGUUUUUGGCGUUAGGGUUAAAAUCCCUGUCCAAAACCUUUGUAGGAACUCUUUUCCAACCUUUUGGAGUUAGUUAGACCAAAAAAUAUGAAAAAAGAAAAAAAUUUUAUUGGGGGUUUUCGGGCUCCCUGAAAGUAAUACCCGUGUAUUAGGUUUUGGGACUAGGGAAAGGUUUAAGGUUUUUGGCGUUAGGGUUAAAAUCACUGUCCAAAACCUUUGUAGGAACUCUUUUCC
This 249-nucleotide long non-coding RNA is filed under the name Xyrichtys novacula (pearly razorfish). The record is from RNAcentral. Lineage: Eukaryota; Metazoa; Chordata; Actinopteri; Labriformes; Labridae.